Long non-coding RNA from Daphnia carinata, 461 nucleotides. RefSeq lists it as uncharacterized. NCBI's taxonomy places the organism in Eukaryota, Metazoa, Arthropoda, Branchiopoda, Diplostraca, Daphniidae. The transcript is spliced from 3 exons. The record is from RefSeq and is a predicted model, not a curated record.
AACUGCCAUUCUUUUGCACGCAUUUUGCCUUGUGAGUGGAAGAAAUCAUGAAGUCCUUUCUCAUUCUUUUCGCCGUCAUUUGCUCCCGCAGCGCAGCGAUUUGGAGCGAAAACGGCCGCAUUAUUGAAGGUGAACUAGCCACGGCUGGUCAGUUCCCUUACGUAGUUUCCAUUACAGAAAACGAUCGUCACAUCUGUGGUGGAUUUAUCUACAGCAAACAAUGGAUUGUUACGGCAGCUUCUUGUGUUGAAGGAAAAAAAAGCAAGCAAAUUGAAAGUUGUGGCCGGUCAAGUGAGUGCCGUCUCUCCUGAUCCUUACGAACAAAUACUGACCGUCUACACCAUAUUCUCUUAUCCGGAAUAUAACAGCACCACCAGGCUGAACGAUGUCGCUCUCCUUAAGGUCCAUUCAAAUUUCAACUUCAUUUUUUUAUUAAAACGCAAUUCGUUCAUGUUCUGCAG